CGGCGCACGGGUGAGUAACACGUAUCCACUGCCGAUACUCGGGGAUAGCCUUUCGAAAGAAAGAUUAAUACCCGAUGGUAUAAUCAGACCGCAUGGUCUUGUUAUUAAAGAAUUUCGGUUAUCGAUGGGGAUGCGUUCCAUUAGGCAGUUGGUGAGGUAACGGCUCACCAAACCUUCGAUGGAUAGGGGUUCUGAGAGGAAGGUCCCCCACAUUGGAACUGAGACACGGUCCAAACUCCUACGGGAGGCAGCAGUGAGGAAUAUUGGUCAAUGGGCUCAGGCCUGAACCAGCCAAGUAGCGUGAAGGAUGACUGCCCUAUGGGUUGUAAACUUCUUUUAUAUGGGAAUAAAGUUUUCCACGUGUGGAAUUUUGCAUGUACCAUAUGAAUAAGGAUCGGCUAACUCCGUGCCAGCAGCCGCGGUAAUACGGAGGAUCCGAGCGUUAUCCGGAUUUAUUGGGUUUAAAGGGAGCGUAGGUGGACAGUUAAGUCAGUUGUGAAAGUUUGCGGCUCAACCGUAAAAUUGCAGUUGAUACUGGCUGUCUUGAGUACAGUAGAGGUGGGCGGAAUUCGUGGUGUAGCGGUGAAAUGCUUAGAUAUCACGAAGAACUCCGAUUGCGAAGGCAGC
Molecule: ribosomal RNA, 627 nt
Filed under: uncultured Bacteroidales bacterium
Lineage: Bacteria; Pseudomonadati; Bacteroidota; Bacteroidia; Bacteroidales
Description: bacterial SSU rRNA
Rfam family: Bacterial small subunit ribosomal RNA
Source: RNAcentral